GACGGAGGGUGCUAGCGUUGUUCGGAAUGACUGGGCGUAAAGGGCGCGUAGGCGGCUUGGUUAGUCGGGUGUGAAAGCCCGGGGCUCAACCCCGGAACGGCAUCCGAUACUGCCUGGCUUGAGACCGGGAGAGGAGGGUGGAAUAUCCAGUGUAGAGGUGAAAUUCGUAGAUAUUGGAUGGAACACCAGUGGCGAAAGCGGCUCUCUGGCCCGGUUCUGACGCCGAGGCGCGAAAGCGUGGGGAGCAAACAGG
Molecule: ribosomal RNA, 253 nt
Filed under: uncultured bacterium
Lineage: Bacteria
Description: partial 16S ribosomal RNA
Rfam family: Bacterial small subunit ribosomal RNA
Source: RNAcentral